This 491-nucleotide transfer RNA is filed under the name Pseudomonas sp. RNAcentral's name for it is "partial contains 16S ribosomal RNA, 16S-23S ribosomal RNA intergenic spacer, and 23S ribosomal RNA". The stretch from base 89 to 162 matches the Rfam family "tRNA". Lineage: Bacteria; Pseudomonadati; Pseudomonadota; Gammaproteobacteria; Pseudomonadales; Pseudomonadaceae. The record is from RNAcentral.
CUCCUUAUCGACGACAUCAGCUGCUCCAUAAGUUCCCACACGAAUUGCUUGAUUCAUUGAAGAAGACGAUAAGAAGCAGCCCGAAAUUGGGUCUGUAGCUCAGUUGGUUAGAGCGCACCCCUGAUAAGGGUGAGGUCGGCAGUUCGAAUCUGCCCAGACCCACCAAUUUUGUGUGGGAAACGCCUGUAGAAAUACGGGGCCAUAGCUCAGCUGGGAGAGCGCCUGCCUUGCACGCAGGAGGUCAACGGUUCGAUCCCGUUUGGCUCCACCACUACUGCUUCUAGAAGUUGAAAGCUUAGAAAUGAGCAUUCCAUCAAUGUGAUGGUGAAUGUUGAUUUCUAGUCUUUGAUUAGAUCGUUCUUUAAAAAUUUGGGUAUGUGAUAGAAAGAUAGACUGAACGUUACUUUCACUGGUAACGGAUCAGGCUAAGGUAAAAUUUGUGAGUAAUUGCGAAUUUUCGGCGAAUGUCGUCUUCACAGUAUAACCAGAUU